UGGCCCCUAAAUUUAGACUUUCAUUCAACAGCGCUGUCAAAGAACGCGCUCUCAGUCUCGCUGAAUUCUGGGUUGUGGGAUUCGAUGAAUUGAAGAUCGUUUAUAGACGAUGGAACAAGGAUGGAGUAGUUUGAGGCUUGGUGCAAACUUGGAAAACCCUCAGCAAGAAAAUCCUGUGGAAGUUUUUUGGCGUUGCUCAUUCGGCAGCACAUCC
RNAcentral lists this non-coding RNA (214 nucleotides) under Lotharella globosa. Lineage: Eukaryota; Cercozoa; Chlorarachniophyceae. The record is from RNAcentral.